Ribosomal RNA from Cricetulus griseus (Chinese hamster), 116 nucleotides. The record is from Ensembl. NCBI's taxonomy places the organism in Eukaryota, Metazoa, Chordata, Mammalia, Rodentia, Cricetidae.
UUGCUUGGCCAUAAUGCCCUUGGUUCAUCCUGUCUCUUCUGAUCUUAGAAGCUAAGUGUGGUUGGGCCUGGUUAGUACUUGAAUGAAAGAAAUGAAAAGUCUUGGCUCUUAUCACA